Molecule: ribosomal RNA, 155 nt
Filed under: Phaeosphaeria vagans
Lineage: Eukaryota; Fungi; Ascomycota; Dothideomycetes; Pleosporales; Phaeosphaeriaceae
Also listed under: 2 other names
Description: 5.8S ribosomal RNA
Rfam family: 5.8S ribosomal RNA
About the family: 5.8S ribosomal RNA (5.8S rRNA) is a component of the large subunit of the eukaryotic ribosome. It is transcribed by RNA polymerase I as part of the 45S precursor that also contains 18S and 28S rRNA.
Source: RNAcentral
ACUUUCAACAACGGAUCUCUUGGUUCUGGCAUCGAUGAAGAACGCAGCGAAAUGCGAUAAGUAGUGUGAAUUGCAGAAUUCAGUGAAUCAUCGAAUCUUUGAACGCACAUUGCGCCCCUUGGUAUUCCAUGGGGCAUGCCUGUUCGAGCGUCAUU